UACGUAGGUGGCGAGCGUUGUCCGGAUUUACUGGGCGUAAAGGGAGCGUAGGCGGACUUUUAAGUGAGAUGUGAAAUACCCGGGCUCAACUUGGGUGCUGCAUUUCAAACUGGAAGUCUAGAGUCCAGGAGAGGAGAAUGGAAUUCCUAGUGUAGCGGUGAAAUGCGUAGAGAUUAGGAAGAACACCAGUGGCGAAGGCGAUUCUCUGGACUGUAACUGACGCUGAGGCUCGAAAGCGUGGGGAGCAAACAGGAUUAGAUACCCCGGUAGUCCCU
This 275-nucleotide ribosomal RNA is filed under the name uncultured prokaryote. Its description in RNAcentral is "partial 16S ribosomal RNA". It matches the Rfam family "Bacterial small subunit ribosomal RNA", at positions 524 to 798 of the family's 1533-position model. The record is from RNAcentral.